CCUACGGGAGGCAGCAGUGGGGAAUUUUCCGCAAUGGGCGAAAGCCUGACGGAGCAAUACCGCGUGAGGGACGAAGGUCUGUGGAUUGUAAACCUCUUUUGUUAGGGAAGAUAAUGACGGUACCUAACGAAUAAGCAUCGGCUAACUCCGUGCCAGCAGCCGCGGUAAGACGGAGGAUGCAAGCGUUAUCCGGAAUUAUUGGGCGUAAAGCGUACGUAGGCUGUUUAAUAAGUCUGUUGUCAAAGACUGAGGCUUAACCUUGGGAAGGCAAUGGAAACUGUAAGACUAGAGAGAGAUAGGGGCAGGAGGAAUUCCAGGUGUAGCGGUGAAAUGCGUAGAUAUCUGGAAGAACACCAGUGGCGAAAGCGUCCUGCUGGGUCUCAACUGACGCUGAAGUACGAAAGCUAGGGGAGCGAAUGGGAUUAGAUACCCCGGUAGUC
This 440-nucleotide ribosomal RNA is filed under the name uncultured cyanobacterium. Its description in RNAcentral is "bacterial SSU rRNA". It matches the Rfam family "Bacterial small subunit ribosomal RNA", at positions 338 to 795 of the family's 1533-position model. The record is from RNAcentral. Lineage: Bacteria; Bacillati; Cyanobacteriota.